AGUGCCUUUGACAGUGUGCAGGCGGGUGGGGGAGCGUGGGGCCGCGGUAAACAAACAGGAGAAGCUUCGGCGGGGGCCGAGAUGUAGUAUAAACGUUAAUGGAUGUCCAGGGCGCGCCGAUGCACCGGCGGCUGGCCAGAGGUACUAGGGAGGCGCUGGCAGGAGCCCUGGCGAAGAUGCACCUUCCCCAGCCUGGAAAGAUCAGCACCUGUGGUCACUGGAAGCCCACCUUUGAGAGUGGUGACUAAUAAUACUGGGGAGUGAGUGGUAACUUCCAGCUGCCAUCCAAAUUUCCCAACUUAAAUCCAGGCCCAAACUCAGCCUCUGGGACCUUUGAAAAGAAUGCUGCCAACACCUAACACCUACCGUUUAAUCUUUAACACUUAGUGUUAAGUUUGAACCCAGGGCCAGGCUCUGUGUCUUCAACAUGACAAACGGGGCACUGCCCCCAGGAAGCCUCAGGCUGUUGGAGGAGACAGACAAGGAUCACAACUGUAAUUAUUAAGUGGCAUUUAGUAGAAUGAAAUGAAACAAAUCUUCACGCAAAAUCGAGUACUGCUGAUGGAAAGUGAGCUGGAGGGAAGUUAGCGCUUAUCUCCCGCGUCUCCUCAACUGAAUGUGCAGGACCGGGGCCGGGCUUGGGGUGAUAUACCUGGAAAGAGCUGUGGAUCCUACUGAUGUCUUCUGGUGGAUUUGUUCGGCCGUGGGAACAUGGGCACCCGGGAGUGGAGUGAGACUUGGCGAAAGGGAGACUGGAUGCUGGAGAAUGUAGAGGUUGGUUCUGUAGGAGGAAAAAGGGGAAUGUCUCCUUGAGGCCCUGUGUUUGUCAACAACAACGAUGAUGAGUGCCCACUAAGUGCCAUGCCCUGGGCCAAGCACUAUAUGUCCCUUAAUUCUGUUUCUCGCUUUGCCUCUCUUUUCACAAUCUUAAGAACACCCUUCUCUGGAAAAAAUUUAAUAUAUGUGAAGAACUUAGAACAAGGCUUGCAGAAAAAUAAUGGCUGUAUGUGUGUUCUUUAUUUUAUUAUUAUAUUUUUACUCUGGAAUAGGCUGCAAUCCUCCACAUAAGAAGAGGUUUUCCCAGGUUCGCUAGAGUAAGUCCUAAACUUGCUUCUAAAUAACACCUCCGCCCUCUGGAGCAGAGCCGCAGAGAGGCCUCUUUGCUUGGGUACCCUGUUUCCACACAGUGGCUCCCAUUUCCUGUCUUCCUGUGUCUAACCACUCUUACCCCAUAAAUAUUCCUUCUCAUACUUUCA
Molecule: long non-coding RNA, 1256 nt
Filed under: Equus caballus (horse)
Lineage: Eukaryota; Metazoa; Chordata; Mammalia; Perissodactyla; Equidae
Description: lncRNA (ENSECAG00000045623.1)
Source: RNAcentral